AGGAAUGUGGUCUAACGGAAAAGACAGUAGCCUUUUAAGCUGUGUAUGCUGGUUCGAUUCCAGCCGUUCCUA
Molecule: transfer RNA, 72 nt
Filed under: Insectozyma verbasci
Lineage: Eukaryota; Fungi; Ascomycota; Pichiomycetes; Serinales; Debaryomycetaceae
Description: Candida verbasci tRNA
Rfam family: tRNA
About the family: Transfer RNA (tRNA) molecules are approximately 80 nucleotides in length. Their secondary structure includes four short double-helical elements and three loops (D, anti-codon, and T loops).
Source: Rfam by way of RNAcentral